UAUAUACUUUUCAUAUCAAUUCUAUGCAUGGUAUUUCACUUCCCGUUUUUCCACAUAACUCAUAUGCAUUUCAUUUUAAACAUAAUUUCAUGCAUUUUCAAUUUCUGGGAAAACGUUAAGUAUAUAUAUAUAUAUACGGAAAACAAAACUGCCCACUCACCUGGAGUUCGCCCUACAACUCCCUAGCACAAUACGCCAAGGCGUCAUGACGAUCGGCGCCUAAAACAAUAAUCAAUUCCAACCUCAGAAUUCAUAUCGAUAGAAUAUAUAACUUAUAUAAAAUACGUCACUACGUAGAUUGAUCCGGAAGAUCCACCCCUCAGAUUUUAAAUCCAUAACUUCCAGAGGUCCACAUUAUACCUCUAGGACAACAACCUAAAAAUUUCAUUACCAUCCAACGGUCGGAUCUCCGUCAAUUUCCAAAACUAAGUGACGGUUAACAUUUUAUAUUAUGGACUUACAAUUCCAAUUCCGGAAGAUCCGUAACUCGGAUUCCCAAUCCGUAAGUUCCAAUAAUCCUCAAAUAUUACGUAUUACAACGUAUCAAAGUUUUGGUGACGAUCCAACGGUCGGAUCAUCAAUUCACAUUUUCACCUAAAUGUGAAAACUAUAAAACGUUAUUUGAACACCUAACCAACAAUCUUCAAUAACUUUCUCAUACGGUGUUCAAUUUAGGUAUAUGAAUAUACCACAGUGAUCUACUCGACGUCAUGGACGUCGACAUAUUUUUAAAAUAAUUUUUUUUUAUUUUUUAUUUUUACUGUAGCACCUUCUUCUUCCUUGGGUCGCCGGACUGGUUUUUCCGGCGGCCGUUUUCUGGGCAGUUUUUUCAAAUUGCCAUAACUUUGUCAUUUCUCAACGAAAUCAAGUGAUUCAAAAACGAAAGUUGUAGCCCUUGAAGAGACAAAGAGAAUGGUACCUUGCACAACACCUAGUUAGCCGUGGUUUGGCCGGAAACUGCCUCGAAAGCCUCGGAGGUCGCCGGAAACUGGGUAUUUUUCAAAUGAGUAUAACUUCUUCAAUACUCAACGAAAUUGAGUGAAACAAAAAGGAAAGUUGUAGUACUUGACGAGACGAAGAGAUUGAUACCUACCUCGACUCCUAACUCGCCGGGGAUUCGCCGGAAAAUUCCUCGAAAGCUCCGGCCAAACUUUGAACUUGUCAAUCUCCGUGUUCUUACGUCCAAAAACUUCCAACGAAGCACUCCGAGCUUCCUUGGGACCUCACUAAGCCCGCUGUGAUCUUGUUUUAGCCUAAAACGUAGUCAUUUAGAAGAUCAUGAACAGUACCAUUUCACGGGAACUUUGAAACUAGGGUUUUUCGAAGCAAAACUUACCUGAAAUUGAUGUCUACGUGAUCGUGGAAGUUCCAGGAGUCCAAAUGUGGUCUUAUCUUGGACGUUUGUUUAUGUUUUAGGUGGUUUUGGGUGAGGUUGAGCGUCGGAGAGGAAGAGAGAGAGAACUGAGAGUGAGAGAGAGUCGUGAGGGAAGAGAGAUAGAGAGACAAGGUACGGGAAUUGGGGAAGGUUUUGAGGGAUGUGGGGAUCCCACGUGUCCAACUCAAUCCAAAUUGUUAAAUUUUCGCCCCUUAGUCCCGUUUAAGGGCAUUUUCAUCUUUUCAUGUCCUCGGAAUUAAAAUUCCGGGACGGGCUGUCACAAUCUUCCCUCCUUAUAGAAUUUCGUCCCCGAAAUUCCAGCAACCAACUAAAUCAACCAUACUCCAACAAUAGCUUCGGGUAAAUCUUUCUCAUCCGAUUCUCUUUCUCCCACAUACUUUUCGACUGAAUGAUUUCCUUCACAAAGCUUUUACUACUUACUCUGUCUUAAUUCUCAGGACCUUCUUUUUCCAAUCCAAAGUCGUUCUUGGUUCCUUAUCAAGUCGAAUCCAAUUUAAUUCUCAAUAGUUGCACCAUAAUUCCAUGAGACGACUCUGUCACUUAGUGACAACGCAUCGAACACAAAAUACAUUAAGUACCGUUACCCUGUCUGGGAAAAAGUUAUUACUCAGCACUGGAGUAAUUGUACUAACUUGGUACAUUGAUCAACUAUCACUUCAAAUUCGAUCAUAACCAUCCUAUGUACAAGGAAACUUGUACACAUAAUCCAAAGUAAUAUCUUUCCAUUUCCAUUGCGAAACAGAAAAUAGUUAUCUCAAUCCAAAGGUUUAUCUCUUUCUGCCUCAAUCUGCUGACCAAAUAAAACUGUCGAAUGGUAUGAUAAAUCUUAUUACUUUUGGAAGAUUGCAGAAGUUGAACAGUGAACUUCGUCCAAUAUUUGCUUGCUUCAAAUCCUCAGCAUUAGGCACAUACUUUUUGUUUUCUUGUAUCCACAUACCAUUUGAUUCACGAAUCAUGUACUCAUUCUUAACUUUACUUUAGUUGGUUUCCAAUCCACAAGAAGAUAACCAUGGCAAGCGUACCAGAUAUUAAUUCUUACUGCAGUCUUCUUAUCAAGUGCUUCAGUUACAACAAUUCACGAUCGCCCUGAUCGUACAAUCAUAAUCACUAAGUAAUUCAAUCCACCCUUGUUGCCUCAUAUCAAAAUCCUUCCAAGUAAUGGAUAUUGAAGACUUUUUGGAUUCGUAAAAAAAAAUCUUGCAUUCUUAUCAACAUAUAAUGUCUCCAUAACUUCACAGCAAGGAUGAUAAUCGUGACUUCCAAAUCACCAGUAGGGUAAUUCAUCUCAUGAGGUUCCAUUUGUCGUGAAACAUAUACAAUCACCCUAACAUUUGCAUCAACAUGCCUCCAAUACCAUUCAAGAAACAUCACUAAAAAUUUAUGAUUACCACUAUUAUCUGGGAAUACCAAAAUACGUGCAUGAGUGAGGAAAUACUUCAGUUGUUGAAUCCUUUGCUCACAAUUUCCUUCCCACUCAUACAUAACCUCUUUCUCAACAGUCUCGUCAAUGACAAAGCAAUGACUGAAAAAUCUUUCACAACCAUCCAAGAUAGCCUGGUAAGCUAAGAAAUUCCGAAUCUCAAUUACAGUUCGUGGUUGUUCCAAUUCCUCAAUUUCUGCUAUCUUUUAAGGAUUCACUUGAAUACCUUAAGAAUAUAUAACAAAUCUCGGAAUGCCACCUGAUUCAUCUAACUUUAGCAUUUGCUACUUAGCAUACAACCGACAUUCUUCCAAUCUUUAUUCCACCGACUUAAUACGUUUACAUGCUCUGCUCUGGCUUCAGAAUAUGCCAGAAUAUCUUCAAUGAAAAUGAUAUCUAUUUAUCAAGGCAUUAUUGGAAUACUUCAUCCAAUAACUCAUAAAACAGCAUGAGUAUCCAUAUAGCAUCACCAUAGUUCAUAAAACAAUCUUAAGAACAACGUCGCUCAUAAUCUUUAAUUGGUAAUAACCAGACCUCAAUUCAAUCUUUGAAUCUUCGCACUUACUUCUGAGCUGGUUAAAUAAACAUCAGUACAUCACCAUGGAUAACGGUUCUCAAUCGUUACCCGACUCCAUUGUCUAUAAUCAAUGAACAGUCUCAAGAUCCAUUUUCUUCCUCACCAACAAACUGGGGCUCCUCAAAAGUGUUGUACUAGGUUGAAUGAAACUUUUAUCAACCAAUUCUUUCAACUGAAUUUCCAAUUCCCUUAACUCAUCCUGAACCAAUCUCCAAUAUAAAUUUAUACCUGGCAACAAAUCAAUAAUGAACCUCAUAUCUCUGCCUGAAGGCAAUCCAGGUAUACUUUCAAGGAAGACAUCAAGAAAAGUCUAACCCCUUUUUGACAUUAUUCACACUACUCCAAACAACAUCAUUUAGCACCACACGAGCUAAUAUUUUUGACAGCCUUUCGAAAACAAUCUCUUUGCUCUCACAGCAUAAAUAACGGCCUGACUCAAUCCACUUUGCAUACUUACAAAAGUAAUCUCUGGUCAUCCAGAUCGAUGGAAAGUACUGGUUUCCCAUAACAUUUCGUCUUGUCACAAUUAUAACCAACCAAUCUAAUGGAACAGAAUUAACUGAUACAAUAUAUAUUUUAUUAUUAUUAAGCAUUCCAAAUAAGUACAAUACUAACAUAAAAUAAUCUACCGGGUUGCUUGCUUAACGAAUCCACGAAUGAGUUAUUAAUAUUACGGUCUGCAGCCCGCAAUACUGAUAAAUCAUCGUUGUCUCGAUAAGUAGGCAACCACUCUCAAAGAUAUAACAUUACUAUUUUGUUACUCAAUGCAAAAUACAUACACUCGUCUCAACUACAUUUAUUUACUACUCUCUAGGUAAUAACAUACAUAAUAAGAAAUAUAUCAGCCGAAGUCAACUAGAAUGACCAAUACGGCUGAUUCAACUCUUAUCUCAAUAAUACGUCGGCCGGAUCCACUCCGCGUGGUCGGUACGGCCGAGCCUAUAACUCACCAAUUUCUCAUGUGUCAAUCGAAUCCACUUCUCAUGGUCUGUACGGCUGAACAUAUAACUCAUCAAAUCUCUCUGUACUCACGGUCAAUCCGACCAAACUACUAAAUCCAUAACUCUGCUGAAUCAACACUAUGAUGUCAUAGAAAACUGUUGGGUACAACUGAUUCUAGGGACGAUUCACAAUUCUGUGUCCCCUCUGUUCACAUAAACACAUUCAUUAAUUUCACACUUCCCAAAGUGUUAAUUUUGUACCUGCUGCACAAAGUACAUUUCCUUUACUCGAGACACCUUGUCUCAAAUAUCUGGGAUUACCAGUAUAUCCAUCACUUUUACUCUGACCAGCGACAUUAAAACCUCAGCUGGAAGAAUUAACUCUAGCUUCACUUCUUUCGAAGCUCUGAAUCUUUCUAUCUCCUUGAUAUGACGAAUCAUUAACUUUAUCGUCUUCUUUUAAUUCCCAUUCAUUUCUUAUUCUUCUUUAUUCUCGUUGAUCAUGUUCUCAGAGUCCUCAAGACUCAACAGCAUCUCGUAUAUUCCUGGUAAGAAGUAUAAUGGAUAGUGGUCACCCAAAAUACCACUUCCCUUUUUGCCACCCAGCUUAAAACAACAUAACACCUCCACCAAUAACAACAAUAUCUGGAUGGAACAAGGCAAGUCUGAAAACUUUCUAUAAUAUCCCUCGAUCAUCACCUUCCUUGUCUCAUAUUUGUAAACUCUUGUUUACUACCAUCGAUAAAUGCCGGAGGGAUAAACUUUUCCUUAAAACAAGUCCUUAAACAAUUUUAAAUCGGCUGUUCCUCCGGUGACAACAAUUAAUACUCCUGCUUCCAUCAGGAUACACGUUCAUAACUCAAACCAGGUAGUCAUCUCGACCCCUUGUCAGAAGGAAGAUUCCUUUGACUUGCAUAAUCCGAAACAUCUUUUCCAAAUGGUUAAACCGUUACUUCGCUCCCUCAGGUUCAUCAUUUCUCUUAAGUGAUUCAAAUUCAACUCAUAACCCAUCUUAAAAUGUCCCUUUUUAUAAUAGACUGAAUCACCCUAAUAAUAGUUUCCCCUAAACCGUUAUAUUAGGGAGACUAAAUUCCUCUAACUAAGUGGCUUGCUACGAGGCGGUGUAGUUCUGACAGAAUUCACUAGAACUUCUCAAAAUGUCCAAGAUUGCAACCAUGCUCUGAUACCAACUGACACACCCCGUCCCGAAGGAGGGCAUGCUGGCCGUCACGUGAGAGUGACGUAACCAUUUGCACAGUACGGAAGCUUUAAUUAUACAAUUUAUAAGUUGAUACACCCGAAGGUGAGUCCUAAUUUUGUCCAAUCUGUCAGAACCCCGCUGUAUUCCUCGUAGUCACCACACCUUUGUGAUUCCUGAACCUGGAGGGGCGCAAAACCAAAAUUGAGUGGGUCAGUAAAACAAUUCUUUUCCAAAUCCAAACAUUUCUCAAAACGUUGUAACCCCUCUCCGUAAAACCUGUAUACUUUCCCAGAAAUGUAAAAUAUAAAUAUACAUAUAUAUUCUCAAUACUUCAUUUCACUUUUUCAACAUUUUUCAUAUCAGUUAUGCCAUGCCACAUCAUCUCAACAUUUCUCAUAUUAAUUAUGCCAUGCCACAUCAUCUCAACAUUAAUAAGGUAUGAAUGCAUUAACAUAAUCAUAUCAGGUGCAAGAAAGUAAUCAACCGUAGGCCCUCUAAUAGCCCUGUACGGUUGAACCUAGAGCUCAAAAUCUAUCAUUAUCACUCUACCGAAGUCACCUCUGUGACCCGUCCGGCCUUCUGCACGCAAGUUACGCUCUAGUGCUUCUCAUAAAUCAUCUGUGCACAUAAUCUAAGGUCACCCACCAGUCGGAAUCUCACUAACACUCUCGCGACUGGUCUGUCGUACCCACUCCGCGUGGACUGUACGACUAGCAUCUACUUGGAUCCAAGGCGAGCGUGCGAUGCGGUGAAUACUAUAAGCACUAAACCAUGGUGCAGGAUUUGAGCUCAAUAUAUAUCAUCAUCAUCAUAACAGUAAUUAAAUACUCAUCUGUGCGUCCACCGCACCAUUUCAUACAUAUGCAUCAUAAAUCAAUUCUUACCUGUGCGUCCACCGCACCAAUUCAUACAUAUGCAUCAUAUAUUAAUUCAUGCAUGGCAUUUCAACUCACAUUUCUAUAUACUUUUCAUAUCAAUUCUAUGCAUGGUAUUUCACUUCCCGUUUUUCCACAUAACUCAUAUGCAUUUCAUUUUAAACAUAAUUUCAUGCAUUUUCAAUUUCUGGGAAAACGUUAAGUAUAUAUAUAUAUAUACGGAAAACAAAACUGCCCACUCACCUGGAGUUCGCCCUACAACUCCCUAGCACAAUACGCCAAGGCGUCAUGACGAUCGGCGCCUAAAACAAUAAUCAAUUCCAACCUCAGAAUUCAUAUCGAUAGAAUAUAUAACUUAUAUAAAAUACGUCACUACGUAGAUUGAUCCGGAAGAUCCACCCCUCAGAUUUUAAAUCCAUAACUUCCAGAGGUCCACAUUAUACCUCUAGGACAACAACCUAAAAUUUCAUUACCAUCCAACGGUCGGAUCUCCGUCAAUUUCCAAAACUAAGUGACGGUUAACAUUUUAUAUUAUGGACUUACAAUUCCAAUUCCGGAAGAUCCGUAACUCGGAUUCCCAAUCCGUAAGUUCCAAUAAUCCUCAAAUAUUACGUAUUACAACGUAUCAAAGUUUGGUGACGAUCCAACGGUCGGAUCAUCAAUUCACAUUUUCACCUAAAUGUGAAAACUAUAAAACGUUAUUUGAACACCUAACCAACAAUCUUCAAUAACUUUCUCAUACGGUGUUCAAUUUAGGUAUAUGAAUAUACCACAGUGAUCUAAUCGACGUCAUGGACGUCGACAUGUUUUUAAAAUAAUUUUUUUUUAUUUUUUAUUUUUACUGUAGCACCUUCUUCUUCCUUGGGUCGCCGGACUGGUUUUUCCGGCGGCCGUUUUCUGGGCAGUUUUUCAAAUUGCCAUAACUUUGUCAUUUCUCAACGAAAUCAAGUGAUUCAAAAACGAAAGUUGUAGCCCUUGAAGAGACAAAGAGAAUGGUACCUUGCACAACACCUAGUUAGCCGUGGUUUGGCCGGAAACUGCCUCGAAAGCCUCGGAGGUCGCCGGAAACUGGGUAUUUUUCAAAUGAGUAUAACUUCUUCAAUACUCAACGAAAUUGAGUGAAACAAAAAGGAAAGUUGUAGUACUUGACGAGACGAAGAGAUUGAUACCUACCUCGACUCCUAACUCGCCGGGGAUUCGCCGGAAAAUUCCUCGAAAGCUCCGGCCAAACUUUGAACUUGUCAAUCUCCGUGUUCUUACGUCCAAAAACUUCCAACGAAAGCACUCCGAGCUUCCUUGGGACCUCACUAAGCCCGCUGUGAUCUUGUUUUAGCCUAAAACGUAGUCAUUUAGAAGAUCAUGAACAGUACCAUUUCACGGGAACUUUGAAACUAGGGUUUUUCGAAGCAAAACUUACCUGAAAUUGAUGUCUACGUGAUCGUGGAAGUUCCAGGAGUCCAAAUGUGGUCUUAUCUUGGACGUUUGUUUAUGUUUUAGGUGGUUUUGGGUGAGGUUGAGCGUCGGAGAGGAAGAGAGAGAACUGAGAGUGAGAGAGAGUCGUGAGGGAAGAGAGAUAGAGAGACAAGGUACGGGAAUUGGGGAAGGUUUUGAGGGAUGUGGGGAUCCCACGUGUCCAACUCAAUCCAAAUUGUUAAAUUUUCGCCCCUUAGUCCCGUUUAAGGGCAUUUUCAUCUUUUCAUGUCCUCGGAAUUAAAAUUCCGGGACGGGCU
Molecule: long non-coding RNA, 8140 nt
Filed under: Malus domestica (apple)
Lineage: Eukaryota; Viridiplantae; Streptophyta; Magnoliopsida; Rosales; Rosaceae
Description: long non-coding RNA (MDOM_LNC015732)
Source: RNAcentral